Molecule: long non-coding RNA, 205 nt
Organism: Sinocyclocheilus grahami
Lineage: Eukaryota; Metazoa; Chordata; Actinopteri; Cypriniformes; Cyprinidae
Exons: 2
Source: RefSeq, a predicted model, not a curated record
UGUUUCUUGACAUCACCGUCGGAGGACACGAGGUUGGCAGGAUCGUGAUCGGUCUGUUCGGAGAGGUCGCUCCGCUGACCGUGCAGAACUUUGUGGCUCUUGCCACAGGAGAGAAGGGUUACGGGUACAAAGGCAGCAAGUUCCAUCGGGUUAUCAAGGACUUCAUGAUCCAAGCAGGAGACUUCACCGCUGGAGACGGAACAGG